GAAAAAGAAAAUUCAAAAACGAAAGUAAACUUUGGAAAGGCACUGGACUGCAUUGAGAAAUAUGUGUCAUCUGCAAGUUCAACUGGAGCAUCAUCUCAAGGAAAAUUAGAGCAUAUUGUUUCAGCAGGAGCUCAGAUGAAAUCCUGUAUUGCAUAUCUGGAAUCUGAAAUCUCUGUAACAGAAACUUCUCGAGAAGAAAUCAAUGAAACCACAUUUCGGAAAUACAAGCAACUCUAUCUAAAAGAAUUGAAAAUUAGAAAAUUGUCAUACAAAAAACUAAGAGAAAUUCAUCAGAAUCUAACAGAAGACACUGCUGAUUUGCUUGAUGAAAAAAAGAGUAACAGAUCUUGAUGUAUCACUCUUGCCAUAAGCUGCUUCUGAAUAUGCAUCUGGAUUCGACAUAUCUUCUCCUUUAAUCAUAUGAUGUGUUAAAUGUAAACCAAGUUCUAGUUGGAAAAGCACAUGAGAAUAUAUACAAAUUUUACAGAAAAAAGUUCCAUAAUCAGAAAGAUAAUAAAAUGUUCUUACUGGGCUGUUUAAAUGGUGUACUGUUUUUCAUUCAAUGUAUCACAUGGGAGAAUCUUUGCGAAAAGAAAAUAAUUUAUACCAUAUCUUUAUAAUAAAAAUUUAUUUAUGUUUUAAAUAAUGUUUCUUGGCCUAUUAACUAUUCAGUGAAUUUUGCAGUUGAAGCCAGUAUUGCUGCGUUUCCAUAUACAAACUGCCCUCAUGCCAGCUGCUUAGCAACCAAACCACCAAGUUGUCAUUGAUAUUUCAAUGGAGUUGAGAGUUAGGUUAUUUGUAUUUUAUAGCUAGUAUAAUAAUAUGUAGUAAUAGAUUCAAAUUUAUUUUUUUAAUUCUUUAUUAAAUCAUAACUGUCUACAUUAAUGCAUUUACAGGGUACAAUGUGCUGAUU
Molecule: long non-coding RNA, 913 nt
Organism: Nycticebus coucang (slow loris)
Lineage: Eukaryota; Metazoa; Chordata; Mammalia; Primates; Lorisidae
Exons: 4
Source: RefSeq, a predicted model, not a curated record